This is a long non-coding RNA of Etheostoma spectabile (orangethroat darter), 4278 nucleotides long. RefSeq lists it as uncharacterized. The transcript has 2 exons. Lineage: Eukaryota; Metazoa; Chordata; Actinopteri; Perciformes; Percidae. The record is from RefSeq and is a predicted model, not a curated record.
UACUAGCCAGUCAGAAGCAGAGUAUGAGGGCCCUGACAGUACCUAGGUAAGGACUACUAGCCAGUCAGAAGCAGAGUAUGAGGCUAGCAGCUAGGUGAGCAUUACAGCGUUUGUCUCUGAAGGUUGGACUACAACAGAGCUGUUUGGAGCAGGCUGUGAGCAGUGGUUUCUGUUGGAGAUGGUAUAUAUAGAUAUAGACAGAUAGAUAUAUACAUAACACAAUGAAAAAGUCCAAAAAGCCUAAUAUGAGCACAGAAGACUUUUUUAAAUUGAAUUCUGGAAACUACGAAGAGGAGUUUUCUAGACAAAAAUACUAUGAAAAUACUACUUAUUUAAAUAGUAUAUAUUCACUAGAGAUCACAUUUCAAAAUAAGGUAUUCAGUUGCUAAUACUACUCAAAUCCUUAUGGCCUCUCUUUGCUUCCAUAUUAAAUACAAGUAAUACAAUACAAGUUACUCAAUACAUAAACAGUGAAGCUAUAUGAAGCAGUUAAUUUGUAAGAAAACUAGAACUGAGUAAUUUGUGCCCGAUGGCGGAAUGAACGCUCACUGUGAGAUGAUCUAGAACCCAUACAGGUCAGUCCGUUGGGAGGUAUUCAACAGUGUCAGAACUGUUCAGAUACUACAGAAUAACGUGUAACAUGAAUACAUACAUAUACUACACAUGGAUGUAUGCAAACAGUAUGCUAUAUAAACUGUGGGGUAUAUGCUGUAUAUGUACCCUGAUCCAUUUCUAUUUACAGUAUAUAGACGUAUUAGCUUCAAACGAGAGGAACACCAGUAGGAGUCUUUCAUGUUGGUGAAAGGUGAGUGAAGCAUUAGCCAAAGUAUUAAGUUUGAAUUGUGUGUAUUUUCUGAGUGUGUGAUAGUCAUGGGGGGGCACUAUGUAUUAGAGAUAUGCUCAUCGAAGAUGCAUCAGAUGUGUCAAAUUAUUGCAAAGGAAAAUGCAUUUCCUGUUGUAUUAUUAUUGUUUGUGAUGGAUAUGCCUUGUGUUCUAAACACAUACUGUCAAGUUUAAAUUGUACUUUUAAUUUUAAAUGACACUUUAUUGGAUCCAUAUGAUGGUGCUCAGAGUCCCUGCUGUUAGAACAUUCGAUUGGUCAGUCUGGAUGACUGACAGACCAGAGAGGCAGUAGGAACACUAAACGAGUUCACAUUUAGUGAGUGAGUCCUGAAACAACCACAGCAAGAAUCAUUCUUUAGAAUAAGGAAUAAAGUAAUAUGUAUCCGGUACAGCCAUUGUAGACGUCUCUCUACAUCCCCACAAGGAAUUAUUAAAAGUCAGGUUUCCCCUUUUUUUAGACAGUGAAGUGUGGGGAUGCGUUACCAUGGUAACCCACUGGUUGGGGGAACACUACCUAAAUUUAGAAUUCCAGUAUGUUUCUGGCUUCCACCGAGCGCUGAGGACCAUAUCUGGCUCUUUAUCUGCUGAACGCCCCACUGUGAUCAGCAGCUAGCUGCUAACUCGGUUAGCCCGCUGCUGUGUGCUGCUGGGGAGGUCGAGUUAGGGUUUGGGUUUGGGUUCGGGUUCGGGUUAGGGUUUGGGUUUGGGUUAGACACUAGAGAGCUUUUCUACUAAAGACACAGGGCGGCUCCGGAUGGGAACAGGUUAAUGAGAGAAGAGUUAAGGAGCUACAGAGUUGGGGGAUAACUGUCCGUGGUUCAGCACUACGAGUGAUCCACUUUUAAUAUUAAAAAAGCUAAGUGCAGCUUUAAUUAAGGUUCUAACUAAAAACUCCCUUUUAAUGAUACUGAAAGUGUUCAGUGUACUCUUAACACUAGAAAUCGUACCAGACAGUGGACGUGGUAUCCAGCUCUCUGGUUUGCAUACGUGUAGUUAGCUUCUAUUUCACUCAGUAGUUUUACACAUUAACUAGUGACACUAAGCUAGUUAAAGAGUAACUAAUACUGGAGUUUGGUGCGUCAGGUGAUCCAGUCAGACUGAAUCAUGUCGCUAAUGUUCCAUCCGUUUGGUUCAACGUUCAGCGGCGUACUGGAUGCUUUUCAGUUGAAGUGCCUUAUUUGUUUCAGUGCAUUAACACAGGAUUAGUGCAAGCAGAGGGACUUCUACAGUGGCUGUAUACACCGUACACACACGUACACACACACACACACACACACACACCGUACACACACACACACACACAUACACACCGUAUACAUCACUGGAUCAGAACCAACAACCGUGGCUUCAGUCGUACGGUUUAUUAUUGUUCAUUACCAGGUGCUUUACAGGCGAAGCUACUAGUUCAGAGUUAGAAACUCGACACAAAUACCUCACUUUACCCCCCCCCCCCAGCUAUAAGCUACAGCCCGCAGGUUCCUCCUCAGCUGCUUCAAUGUGAAUCCGAGUUCAGACGCUCGAGGGGAAGAGAUUAGCGAUGGCUGAUCUGGAACACCAGAACCGGCAGCGUCCUCUAAAAGGGAAUAUUCCUUCUCCAACUCGAGCCAAUAUUAAGUUUGAAGAUAAAGGGAAAUUCCACUCCAAAAAACAACUUAUCAUUCAUAAGCUCCUGCUGCCACCAAGUCCAAGGAAUAUAAAAUGUUUCCCUUGUUCCUGGUGGACCACUAGCACGGUGUGGGCUGAGAGUCUUCUGGGGGUCCCAGGUGUCUGUUGCUUUAAGCGUUUGGAUACUCGGAGGCAUCAUUAGCAAGUGACGUAGCUUUUUUUUGUCAUCUGUUGUCACCAUAAUAUUGAAAAAUACUAUCCCCCUAGGGGUUAGAAUUGUGUUUUUUUGUUUUUUAUAAAUCUGCCAAGCAGACGUCUUUGAGAAAAGAAUCCGUUGAGUUCAUUAACGACAACGUGCUGUUGGAGAUUAUUUCUGGAUUUUGAAUCUUGCAGUUGCUCUCUUCACGGCUUUCUUAUGAAGUUGUACUUUGGAGUUGUGAAGCCGCAAAGUGAUGUAAAAUGAAAAAGUAGUUUAUUAGUGUCAUUUUAGAGCCAAAUAGUCUGAAAGUAAAAAAGAAAUAAAAACGAUAAGAGAAUUCACAUGAGACCAUAAUCAGAAACUCACAAUCUCUCAUCUCGUCUGUUCCUUCUGAUUGGUCUUUGUUUCUUGACAUUUCAUUUUGCUUUCGGUUUCUGACCCUGAAUUGGCUCCGUACUUUGUCUUUACAAAGUGUUUAUUCUCAUCAUCAACUUGAAAUGCAUAAUAAGUCAAAGUUGUCAUGAAAUGGAGAACCAGGCUUUCCCAUAAAUGACAAAGAAAGCCUGAGCUGCUCCACUCCAGUGAGAUCAGCUCCAGUGAGAUCCAGUAAGAUCUGCUCCGUAUCUUCCUCGCAGGUCUAAAGGCAGUUUCAGCCUUCAGCCCCCGGUGCCUCGCUACAGUUUUGUUUAAACGGCUGGUCUUCUGGGGGCGCCUGGUUAGCUCAGCUGGAUGAGCGUGUCCCCCAUGGACAGAGACUCAGUCCUUGAUGCAGCGGCCAAGGGUUCAAGUCUGGUUACGGGUUUAUUCCCCCCUUUCAAUUCUUCAGCUAUCCUAUCAAAUAAAGGCCUAUAAUGCCACAACAACAACAAAAAAAAGAUAAAAUAAAAAAAAUGCACGUCCUUCCCACGGAAAAAGCGGCUGAUGUUUCACGUCCAAUCCCGGCGUCGACUACACCUGGACUUCCUGACCCGUUUACACACACGUACACACACACACACACACACAGUACAGUAAGGGAUUGUCAGGCCCCUCUGUCCCUACAGCCACUAGGCUGUCCAGGGUGCAUGCUGAUGAAGGGGUGGAUGGGGUUGGACAGAAUCUGAUCUGAGGUCUGCAGCGUCGCUGUGGUUUCCGUCGGCCACGCCUCAGGACCGAACGUCGCCGGUGUCCGUGGGACAUUUGGACAGUUGUAUUCCAAGAUGCUGUUUUUAAUUUAGGUGAUAAAACUUCAUCAUUCAUGCAUUCAACAUAAAAUGUAGAUGUUCCAGUGUUAAUGUCCUUUAUUCAGCCAAUGACUUAAAAUGCUUCUUAGUCAUGUAAAAAGCUUCUUUUUCUACUUCUGAGUGGUUCAGUUUGGCAAUAAAUUAUUCAAUAAUUCUCUAUAGAAUGAAAAAUAUCAAACCUCAGCAGGAUGUUUGUUCUAUCACUUUGAAUUAAUUUGUAUCCCCUCGUUCUUUUCUAUUUCAAGAUUUAGUGCCUUUUUUGGACGGUAGACUGUUCUGUAAAUGCGAUGUAGGAAAUCUACAUUUGCCUUUUGUUACUUUUUCAUCUGUUAAUAAACCUUUUUGUUAUUUUUAAGGUGUUUUUAUUGAUAUUCUAUUUACAGCAGAAUAAAAAGUGAUCCGAGUCUA